UAAGAGUGAUAAGUAGCUUGUCUGAAGAACACUAGUUUUAUUCUUGUGUUUCUUCCCUCCCCUCUGUAAUGCAUUUCCCUUCUCUUUUCUCCUUCAUGUGAGAAGUGCGGCAUUGAGCUCUCUGCGGUGUAAGCUGUCCAACAGAGCAUCUCAUCAAUAGAAGAAAUAUGUACCCAUACUCCACAUAAUAAACUAGACUUUUAAUGAUCUGGAUUUCAUCCACACUUCAGGGAGUCUCUGCAAAGGCCCUCUAGAGACAAUUCUCCUGACCAGUCUUCCAUAUCUACAGAUGCCUUUACCUCCAUAUCCUGAUAUUAAGUUUCCUGUCAGUCCUGUCUACAUAUUUGGCCACACUCAACUUCCUCUGGUGCUCUUAGCACACUUGUGGGACAAUGAAUCUCAGCCAUCAACUUGAUGAGAUCUAGACUCUGGGAGAUGAGCCUCUGAACGUGCCUGUGGGAGAUUAUCCUGACUGGAUUAAUUGAUAUGGGAAGAUCCACCC
Long non-coding RNA from Apodemus sylvaticus (European woodmouse), 502 nucleotides. RefSeq lists it as uncharacterized. The transcript has 3 exons. The record is from RefSeq and is a predicted model, not a curated record. NCBI's taxonomy places the organism in Eukaryota, Metazoa, Chordata, Mammalia, Rodentia, Muridae.